Molecule: ribosomal RNA, 461 nt
Filed under: uncultured delta proteobacterium
Lineage: Bacteria; Deltaproteobacteria
Description: bacterial SSU rRNA
Rfam family: Bacterial small subunit ribosomal RNA
Source: RNAcentral
GAGAGUGGGUAGUCCGCACGAGCGCACCCUGUCCUUAGUUGCCAGCACAUAAUGGUGGGGACUCUAAGGAGACUGCCUGGGAUAACCAGGAGGAAGGUGGGGAUGAUGUCAAGUCAGUAUGUCCCUUAUGUCCAGGGCUACACACGUGUUACAAUGGCCGGUACAAUGGGCUGCGAACCUGCGAGGGUAAGCCAAUCCCAAAAAACCGGCCCCAGUUCAGAUUGGAGUCUGCAACUCGACUCCAUGAAGGAGGAAUCGCUAGUAAUCGCGGAUCAGCACGCCGCGGUGAAUACGUUCCCGGGUCUUGUACACACCGCCCGUCAAGCCAUGGAAGUCGGCAGUACCCGAAGCCGGUGUCCCAACUCUUCGGAGAGGGAGCCGUCGAAGGUAAGGCUGGUAACUAGGGCUAAGUCGUAACAAGGUAGCCGUACCGGAAGGUGCGGCUGGAUCACCUCCUUUCU